Phasianus colchicus (ring-necked pheasant) is the source of this 2828-nucleotide long non-coding RNA. The record is from Ensembl. Lineage: Eukaryota; Metazoa; Chordata; Aves; Galliformes; Phasianidae.
CAUGAAGGCAGACCUAUUUUUGAGAAAAGGAGGAGGCGGCUGAUAAACCCAAGACAUAUUUGGGCAUUCCCCGAGGCCAACUGCCCAUCCCUUGAGAGGACUGCGGAGAUACAGCAGUAUGUGAAUAGGCUUCUGCAAGGAGGCCAGCUUUCUCCAAUAGCAGGUAGAGCUGUGCCACAGCAGGAUGCAGACAGAGGCCGUGCCUGUGUGCAGGAGGACAGGACAAUGCCUAUUCUGGGUUGUUUGGCUCCUCUGCAGCUGCAAGUUCAGAAGUUAAUGUGCGUUAUCUGUGGAUGGGGAAAACCACUAAGUGGAGAACAAUCUUUAAUAAUGAAAGUGCAGAAGAGAGACCAGCAGUGGUGUUUUUAAGACUUUCGACUUUCCCAUGAUGUUGAGAAUCCAUCCCCUCCAUGUUUUGUGCUUUAUGUUUUGUACCAUCACUUUGCCUCUCACCUAAAAACUGCACCUGUUGUGUUCUUUGUUCAUUCUGCUCUGAUAUCAGCCAAAAUUGUGACUUGUGGCCUCUUGUCAGCUGUGGUUAGUGUUUCCUAAAAGUGCACUAGCCCAAACUGUUUUCUGCAUUAUUUCACCACAGUGAGAUGAAACAAUUAACGGGUUGCAAAUGUGACAACACUACCACACAAGUGCUCUGCUUUGGGAAUUCAUCUCCUGCCUUAACUCAGUGCAGGGAAAGAUGUGUCUUCACUGCCUACAUCUGUACAAAGAUGCCUAAUUGAGUUCCUGUUGUCUUUGCUGCUAAUGAGACUUCUGCAUUCGGGAGGUGUAGUCUCAAAGGCACUGUUAAUCAUUCUGAAGCCUCCCAUUUGCCACAAGCCCCAAGUAGGGUAGAUGGAUCUACAGACUGAGAAGUGAAAACAGUGCACCUGACAGAUAUGCCUACGGUGACUAUAUAAAGGAGGGAGAUCAUCUUGCUUUCUGUAGACUUACAGUUAGUGCUAGCAAAUGCUUAGACCCUAAAAGAACUAGUGAAUUCAACUGCCUAAAAUGCACAAAUAGCAACACUUGCCCCCACAGAGAGGAACUUCCUCCUAUAAUCCAUCAGUGAUUUCAAGCUGGAACCUUCAGGACGUGCCCCCCCACCCCCCCCACCCUCCCCAGCACAAGGAGAUGCAGCUCACACUGAUCUUCCUGCAGCUCCUUUCUACUUUGUUCCUCUAAUUUAUUCCUUUGGGACCAGGGCUAACAAGGGGGUGAUAAUUACCUGCUGACUGCUUUAUUAAUCUUCAGUGACCUGCUGGGCCACAGGAACCCCCUCCCCAUGCUUCAGGGAGGUGAGAGCCAUGCUGUGGGUGCCUCAGUCCAUGUCUGCCAUCUCACACCUGAGUGCAGCCAUCUGUACUGCCCUUGAUCUAACACAAGUGAAAUAUAAAAUUAACAUGAUAAGACAGCUGGGGCCAGGUUAAUUGGAAGCUGGAGACGGUUUAUUUCUUCUUCUAUUCUUUUAUUCUACUGCAUCUUACCAAGAUCCUUUAAAAGGUUUUUAUCUGCCUGCUGCAUGGUGAUGUUGCUCACCAGAGCUGCCUCUGUUCUUGUGGAAAGCUGACAUGCUUCUGCGGGGUACUUAAUUGCGGCACAGCAACUUUAUGUACAGCAAGUCACAGAGCUGUCACUAACCGGAGUUAGUGCACUGUGGUUCCUGGCCUCUGAGCUUCAAGAGAGAUGGCACUGACUCCCACAGGAAAUAUGGGAUUCCCACAGGAGCUGCUUUCCAAAUAGGCAUGGAUAGAAUGGGGCAGUGAGGACCUGCUGAACAGGCAGGUAUUUCCAUUCCAACAGAUAGUGGGGAGACAAAUGCAAGUCACAGGGCCACCAUUCCCAAAAAACUCAGUCUACACAAGUCAAAGAUGUGAGUCCUUCUAUAGCCAAAAUAUCUCUGGCUGUAAGGUUAUCCCAAACAAGGUUAUUGCCAUGGUUGCCUGAUCUCUCACUGUCACAGCCCAGCAUAUUGUUUGCCAUUUCUCUUUGAGGGUCAGUCUGAUGCUGUUAGCAAGUACGCUGGUGUGCAGAGGACUACCCUUAAUAGGAAGUUAAGGCCUUAUUAAACAUCUUUAUAACCUGUAUUUUCAAGCUGUUCACACAUAGAAUUCCUCUUCAUGGUUUAAAAAUGAAACUCCAGCUGUAACAGGGAUCCAUCACCUCUCACAGGUGCAGAUGCAAAGAGUUUGUAGCAUUUUAAAGGUUUAUCCAGCCUAAUUGUGUGUCUGGAUUUGUUUUCAGUUUUUUCCUUCUUGAAUGAUCUUUUCCAUCCUUCCAAAAUGCAAUUAGUAAAGUUCAUCAAGUGUGCCAUCAACUUUAGAGAAAGCAAAUUUGAAACAAGUGACAAAUGCUUCCCCUGCUGGCUAGGAUGGCAGGCUGUGUGUGCCUAACCAGCUGUGUCUAUUUGAGACUGUAGAACAAUACUUGCAUUCUAUUCAUAAAUUAUCUAUGGAUAUGGAAGAUGGUUUCAUGUAAGUCUUCUUCCUACACAGUUGGCUGAAUUUACCCUAAUUCUCUAAUCUUGUCCACACCAGCACAUCUUUCUUCACCGCAAAGCAGCAGUUUACUAAGAGCUCUGAGUAUCUCAGCAGAGGUCAUAAAGUUACUUUUAAAUACUAGCACAGAGAAUGUAAGUUUCACCUUCAGCAGCACCUCCCUUCCAGCAAGAUUGGUUUAUAAAUCUGUGAUAACUGCAUGAUGACUCUGUUUCUUCCUUUCAUUCUGAUAUCCACAUCUUAGUUUUUAUAGACAGGGUUGCAUAUGAUCGACGUGGCUGUUUCUUCAUGGAAUAGACUUCUGAACAAAAGGAAUAAAAGAAGUUAGGAUGCACA